This 568-nucleotide ribosomal RNA is filed under the name Hippoglossoides platessoides (American plaice). Its description in RNAcentral is "partial 16S ribosomal RNA". It matches the Rfam family "Bacterial large subunit ribosomal RNA", at positions 1845 to 2596 of the family's 2925-position model. Lineage: Eukaryota; Metazoa; Chordata; Actinopteri; Pleuronectiformes; Pleuronectidae. The record is from RNAcentral.
AUAAGAGGUCCCGCCUGCCCAGUGACGACUUAGUUCAACGGCCGCGGUAUUUUGACCGUGCAAAGGUAGCGUAAUCACUUGUCUUUUAAAUGAAGACCUGUAUGAAUGGCAUAACGAGGGCUUAACUGUCUCCUUCCCCCGGUCAAUGAAAUUGAUCUCCCCGUGCAGAAGCGGGGAUAAAACCAUAAGACGAGAAGACCCUAUGGAGCUUUAGACACACAGGUGGCCCAUGUCAAAUAACCCCCGCUAAGGGCCUGAACUAAGUGGAACCUGCCUUGAUGUCUUCGGUUGGGGCGACCAUGGGGAAUACAAAACCCCCACGUGGAAGGGGAGCACACCCCUAAGUUACUUCUUCUCCCGCAAGCCAGAGCAACGGCUCUAACCAGCAGAAAUUCUGACCAGACUGAUCCGGUAAUACCGAUCAACGAACCAAGUUACCCUAGGGAUAACAGCGCAAUCCCCUUUUAGAGCCCAUAUCGACAAGGGGGUUUACGACCUCGAUGUUGGAUCAGGACAUCCUAAUGGUGCAGCCGCUAUUAAGGGUUCGUUUGUUCAACGAUUAAAGUCC